This 700-nucleotide ribosomal RNA is filed under the name uncultured bacterium. Its description in RNAcentral is "bacterial SSU rRNA". It matches the Rfam family "Bacterial small subunit ribosomal RNA", at positions 8 to 735 of the family's 1533-position model. The record is from RNAcentral.
AGAGUUUGAUCAUGGCUCAGGACGAACGCUGGCGGCGUGCCUAAAACAUGCAAGUCGAACGGAGGCUUCGGCCUCAGUGGCGAACGGCGGAGUAAUACGUAAGCAACGUGCCCUAAAGACUGGGAUAGCCCGGGGAAACCCGGAGUAAUACUGGAUGUGGCCCUCAUCUGGCAUCAGGAGAGGAUCAAAUGGUUUUUCGCUUAAGGAGCGGCUUACGGCCUAUCAGGUAGUUGGUGAGGUAAUGGCUCACCAAGCCGACGACGGGUAGCGGGUCUGAGAGGAUGACCCGCUCGAGUGGGACUGAGACACGGCCCACACACCUACGGGUGGCAGCAGUUGGGAAUCUUGCACAAUGGGGGAAACCCUGAUGCAGCGACGCCGCGUGGAGGAUGAAGGAUCUAGGUCUGUAAACUCCUUUUAUCGGGAAAGACUUAGGACGGUACCCGAUGAAUAAGCACCGGCUAACUACGUGCCAGCAGCCGCGGUAAGACGUAGGGGGCAAGCGUUGUCCGGAUUUAUUGGGCGUAAAGAGCGUGUAGGCGGCCAGGCAGGCCCGCUGUGAAAACUCGAGGCUUAACCUCGAGACGUCGGUGGAAACCGUUUGGCUAGAGUCCGGAAGAGGAGAGUGGAAUUCCCGGUGUAGCGGUGAAAUGCGCAGAUAUCGGGAAGAACACCCGUGGCGAAGGCGGCUCUCUGGGAC